Molecule: unclassified non-coding RNA, 273 nt
Filed under: Hevea brasiliensis (rubber tree)
Lineage: Eukaryota; Viridiplantae; Streptophyta; Magnoliopsida; Malpighiales; Euphorbiaceae
Source: RNAcentral
UAUGGAUCAGUUUGAUAAGGAUGGCGAUGGCAUGAUAGAAAAUGAAGGGUUCCCUGAUCAAACGUACGAUGCAUGGACUGUUAGUGGUGUGAGCACAUACAGUGGAGGGCUCUGGGUAGCAGCUCUACAAGCUGCCUCAGCAAUGGCUCGUGAGGUUGGUGAUGCUGCAGCUGCUGAUUACCUUUGGGUUAAGUUUCAGAAGGCAAAGUCUGUAUAUGAUAAGUUAUGGAAUGGUUCUUACUUUAAUUAUGACAAUAGUGGCCGGAGAUCAAG